This 421-nucleotide long non-coding RNA is filed under the name Capsicum annuum. RNAcentral's name for it is "long non-coding RNA (CANN_LNC008127)". The record is from RNAcentral. Lineage: Eukaryota; Viridiplantae; Streptophyta; Magnoliopsida; Solanales; Solanaceae.
CAAUCACAAAAUUUUACCCACACCCAAAUACCACACUACCGCUGCUGACAACCAAAUCGACUCCAAAUUGUGCCGCCGCCGAAAUCUAGACACCACCGUCUGCACCACCGCCAUCGCUUCCGAUAGCUGCCAAAAAUUUCAGCAUCACCCUCCUCCAUGUUUUCUUCUUUCUCUCUUAAGAAGUGUAGCGUACAAAUUUCAUCAUUGCUUAGAUCGUGAUUUGAUUAGUUUGUCAAGUUUAAUUUAUACAAUGUAAGGAGUUUUAUGAGGUUUUAUAACGAUCUUGGUUUUAUUGUGUUGAGAAACUCAAAGUCACUUUUAUUUUUCUUGAUAAACCCCUUUUCUCCAACUUGAGUCUUUUUCUUAUUUCUAUAAGUAGUUGGGUACUGUUUUUUUCUAAAUUUGCAAUCCAAAUAACUGA